Molecule: ribosomal RNA, 493 nt
Filed under: uncultured bacterium
Lineage: Bacteria
Description: bacterial SSU rRNA
Rfam family: Bacterial small subunit ribosomal RNA
Source: RNAcentral
AAAGGAAUUGACGGGGGCCCGCACAAGCAGUGGAGUAUGUGGUUUAAUUCGAAGCAACGCGAAGAACCUUACCUGGGCUUGACAUCCCUGGAAUCGAGUAGAGAUACUUGAGUGCCUUCGGGAAUCAGGUGACAGGUGGUGCAUGGUUGUCGUCAGCUCGUGUCGUGAGAUGUUGGGUUAAGUCCCGCAACGAGCGCAACCCCUAUUGUCAGUUGCCAUCAUUAAGUUGGGCACUCUGGCGAGACUGCCGGUGACAAAUCGGAGGAAGGUGGGGACGACGUCAAAUCAUCAUGCCCCUUAUGCCCAGGGCUACACACGUACUACAAUGGCCGAUAACAAAGUGCAGCGAAACCGUGAGGUGGAGCGAAUCACAAAACUCGGUCUCAGUUCAGAUUGCAGGCUGCAACUCGCCUGCAUGAAGUUGGAAUUGCUAGUAAUCGCGGAUCAGAAUGCCGCGGUGAAUACGUUCCCGGGCCUUGUACACACCGCCCGU